GACGAACGCUGGCGGCGUGCCUAAUACAUGCAAGUAGAACGCUGAAGGAGGAGCUUGCUUCUCUGGAUGAGUUGCGAACGGGUGAGUAACGCGUAGGUAACCUGCCUGGUAGCGGGGGAUAACUAUUGGAAACGGUAGCUAAUACCGCAUAAUAGUAGAUGUUGCAUGACAUUUGCUUAAAAGGUGCAAUUGCAUCACUACCAGAUGGACCUGCGUUGUAUUAGCUAGUUGGUGAGGUAACGGCUCACCAAGGCGACGAUACAUAGCCGACCUGAGAGGGUGAUCGGCCACACUGGGACUGAGACACGGCCCAGACUCCUACGGGAGGCAGCAGUAGGGAAUCUUCGGCAAUGGACGGAAGUCUGACCGAGCAACGCCGCGUGAGUGAAGAAGGUUUUCGGAUCGUAAAGCUCUGUGUAAGAGAAGAACGAGUGUGAGAGUGAAAAGUUCAC
This 452-nucleotide ribosomal RNA is filed under the name Streptococcus mitis. RNAcentral describes it as "bacterial SSU rRNA". It matches the Rfam family "Bacterial small subunit ribosomal RNA", at positions 28 to 467 of the family's 1533-position model. The record is from RNAcentral. Lineage: Bacteria; Bacillati; Bacillota; Bacilli; Lactobacillales; Streptococcaceae.